RNAcentral lists this transfer RNA (75 nucleotides) under Deltaproteobacteria bacterium. Its description in RNAcentral is "tRNA-Glu". It matches the Rfam family "tRNA". From Rfam's summary of the family: Transfer RNA (tRNA) molecules are approximately 80 nucleotides in length. Their secondary structure includes four short double-helical elements and three loops (D, anti-codon, and T loops). RNAcentral also lists the same sequence under 4 other names. The record is from RNAcentral. Lineage: Bacteria; Pseudomonadati; Myxococcota; Myxococcia.
GGUCCCAUCGUCUAGCGGUUAGGACGCCGGCCUCUCACGCCGGAAACCGGGGUUCGAUUCCCCGUGGGAUCACCA